RNAcentral lists this long non-coding RNA (604 nucleotides) under Felis catus (domestic cat). RNAcentral's name for it is "lncRNA (ENSFCAG00000042479.2)". Lineage: Eukaryota; Metazoa; Chordata; Mammalia; Carnivora; Felidae. The record is from RNAcentral.
UCUUCCGUGGACCUCCAAGAAAGCCAUCUAUUUUAAAGAGGAACAAGGUUGAUCCACUGACUCCUCCCCAGGAACUGAAGCUGGUUUGGAGCCCCCAUAGUGGUGUGGAAGGGAGCCAAUCAUUUCACCUGCUGCUCAAUGCAGCUUACGCAUGCAUCUUGCUAAAGAUGAUGACCCAGCAACCUGAGCUGAUGAGGUGGUGGGUCUCAGUCCACUCUAAACAAGCUUGCAUCGUUUUAGCAGCCGACUGCACUUAUCUUUUGAGCUUUGAACCAUGCCCCAGUGGGGCAUGCUUCUUGAUCUCAUUGAUACUGGAGUUGGCCAUGUGAUUUGCUUCGGCCAAAAGUUUGAUAAAUGUGUCAUGAAAUGGAGCCUUCCAUGCGUCUGCACACUGGACUUGUGUUCAGAGCUCCACUCUGAGAAGUACAUAUGCCAAGUGACCAUGGAUCUGGGGAGGAUCAGAGACAUGUGGAACAGCUUCUCUGUUGAAUAUCAACGUGUCACACAUAUCUCUGCAAUCCCCACAUGGGCUUCCCAGUGGAGCCACCGAGCUUGGAGGAAGGAGUGGUUUUCUGGUUCAGCAACUGCUCUUCGGAAGAUGUGA